Molecule: ribosomal RNA, 748 nt
Filed under: uncultured marine bacterium
Lineage: Bacteria
Description: bacterial SSU rRNA
Rfam family: Bacterial small subunit ribosomal RNA
Source: RNAcentral
GGCGAACGGGUGAGUAAUACUUGGAUAAUCUGCCACUAGGAUUGGGAUAACCUCAGGAAACUGAGACUAAUACCAAAUAUGACCACAGUCUUUACGAAGACAGUGGUAAAAUGUUUUUUCGCCUAGUGAUGAGUCCAAGUCGCAUCAGGUUGUUGGUAAGGUAAUGGCUUACCAAGCCUAUGACGCGUAGCAGGUCUUAGCGGAUGAUCUGCCACAUGGGGACUGAGAUACGGCCCUGACUCCUACGGGAGGCAGCAGUGAGGAAUAUUGGACAAUGGACGAAAGUCUGAUCCAGCGAUGCCGCGUGAAGGAUGAAGGCCCUAGGGUUGUAAACUUCUGUCAGCAGGGAAGAUAAUGACGGUACCUGCAGAGGAAGCCCCGGCUAACUCCGUGCCAGCAGCCGCGGUAAUACGGAGGGGGCAAACGUUAUUCGGAUUUACUGGGCGUAAAGGGUUCGUAGGCGGUUUUUUAAGUUAGAUGUGAAAGCUUGAAGCUUAACUUCAAAAUAGCAUCUAAAACUGAAUUACUAGAUUCUUGGAGAGGUAGAUGGAAUUACCGGUGUAGCGGUGAAAUGCGUAGAUAUCGGUAGGAACACCAGUGGCGAAAGCGAUCUACUGGACAAGUAAUGACGCUGAGGGACGAAAGCGUGGGUAGCAAACAGGAUUAGAUACCCUGGUAGUCCACGCCCUAAACGAUGAAUACUAGAUGUUGGAUUUAUUCAGUAUCGUAGCUAACGUAUUAAGUAUUC